Molecule: ribosomal RNA, 562 nt
Filed under: Xylariaceae sp. BCC 20933
Lineage: Eukaryota; Fungi; Ascomycota; Sordariomycetes; Xylariales; Xylariaceae
Description: eukaryotic LSU rRNA
Rfam family: Eukaryotic large subunit ribosomal RNA
Source: RNAcentral
AAACCAACAGGGAUUGCCCUAGUAACGGCGAGUGAAGCGGCAACAGCUCAAAUUUGAAAUCUGGCCCUCGGGUCCGAGUUGUAAUUUGUAGAGGAUGCUUUUGGCGCGGUGCCUUCCGAGUUCCCUGGAACGGGACGCCUUAGAGGGUGAGAGCCCCGUACGGUUGGACACCAAGCCUCUGUAAAGCUCCUUCGACGAGUCGAGUAGUUUGGGAAUGCUGCUCUAAAUGGGAGGUAAAUUUCUUCUAAAGCUAAAUAUUGGCCAGAGACCGAUAGCGCACAAGUAGAGUGAUCGAAAGAUGAAAAGCACUUUGAAAAGAGGGUUAAAUAGCACGUGAAAUUGUUGAAAGGGAAGCGUUUGCGACCAGACCUUUUCCUAGCGGAUCAUCCGGUGUUCUCACCGGUGCACUUCGCUAGGUUUAGGCCAGCAUCGGUUUCUGUAGGGGGAUAAAAGCUCUGGGAACGUAGCUCCUCCGGGAGUGUUAUAGCCCUCUGCAUAAUACCCUUACGGGGACCGAGGACCGCGCUUCGGCAAGGAUGCUGGCGUAAUGGUCGUCAACGAC